GUUCCUACGGGAGGCAGCAGUGAGGAAUAUUGGUCAAUGGGCGCGAGCCUGAACCAGCCAAGUCGCGUGAGGGAAGACGGUCCUAUGGAUUGUAAACCUCUUUUGUCGGGGAGCAAAAGAGGCCACGUGUGGCGUUCCGAGAGUACCCGAAGAACAAGCAUCGGCUAACUCCGUGCCAGCAGCCGCGGUAAUACGGAGGAUGCGAGCGUUAUCCGGAUUUAUUGGGUUUAAAGGGUGCGCAGGCGGCAGAUC
RNAcentral lists this ribosomal RNA (252 nucleotides) under uncultured bacterium. RNAcentral's name for it is "partial 16S ribosomal RNA". It matches the Rfam family "Bacterial small subunit ribosomal RNA", at positions 335 to 584 of the family's 1533-position model. The record is from RNAcentral.